This is a long non-coding RNA of Callithrix jacchus (white-tufted-ear marmoset), 2413 nucleotides long. RefSeq lists it as uncharacterized. Lineage: Eukaryota; Metazoa; Chordata; Mammalia; Primates; Cebidae. The record is from RefSeq and is a predicted model, not a curated record.
GUUCCAAGAAACACAUGUAGGAUGUGCAGGUUUCUCACAUAGAUAAGCGUGUGCCAUGGUAGUUUGCUACACCUGUCAACCCACUACCUAGGUAUUAAGCCCAGCAUGCAUUGGCUAUUUUCUAUGAAUUUUUCACUCAUGGUUCAGUAUAGUAAAACUUCCCCCAGAAGCAUGAUGUCAAGAAUUGGUAACAGUAGUUUCUGCUGUAAUUUUUCUUGUAAUGAUUCAAUGUUGUUCUUGUAUACAGUGAGGGAAGGGUUAGCUUCUUCUUGACUCUGGAGGUAUGAUGGUGGUGUUAUUAUUCCAUGACAUUUAAAAAUGGCUUACUUGAACAUGAGGGCAGGAAUUUGUGUCCAAUUUGUUCAUUUUUGAAAGUUCAGUUUCUAGACGAGUACCUAGUAAAUUACUAAGUACUCAGUCAAUAAGUUCUUAGUAACAAAUAAGUACUUCCAGUAUUCCAAAAAGUUUUUAAAAUGCAAAAAAUAGUUUUUGUCGAGGCACUUUAAAAUAAUGCUUAUUUUUAUGCUUUUGCCUAAAAAGAGCACGUUAGAGGUGUCUCCCUGCAAAUGCUGUAAAUAUGUAUGCCAUAGUGGUUAAAAUAGGUCCAGAGACUGACUGCUGGGUUAAGCCUUGCCUUCUGUUUCCUAGCUGUGUGUCUUUUCCUUAUCUUUGCACUUCUGUUCUCUCUUCCAUAAAGUUGGAACAAUAAUCAUUUUAGUACCUCUUCUGUCACCAAAUUUUUGAACUAAGUUGAUAUAUAAAGCACUUAGAGCAGUUCCUAUCCCAUACAAAGUACUCAAAUAUUAGUUACUAAUAUUUUAGUCUUAUACUAUCCCUAAUAUACUUCCUAGCACAUGGUUUAUUUUCUGAAAUAAUUGUUGAGUGACUAAUAAUGUUUCUCUAUUAGAAAAAAAAUGUAAACUACUUCAACAUUUAGAGUCCUAUUUUAAGAUAUUGAAAAAGAGUAAAAGAAUAUAAUGAUUAAAAAUAUCACCACUUGACUAGUUUAGGCAUUAAUACCUUUGAGUGAGAGGGUGGGCUGAGUAAAUCAUGAAGAUAAAUAUAACUUUUUCACUGACCUCUUUCAGAAGCUGGAGAGCAAACAUAUUUCUAUGGGAGGGAGGCAGUGCCUUCGUCUUCUAAUCAUAGAUCAUGUCCUCCUUGGCAGGUUCAGGGCCUUUCAUGGGAUUUUAUUGUUUGGAAUCCAACAAAAACAUAGUUGAGAUGAGGUCUUGGAAGGUGGCUUGUCAAGAUGUAUGUCUGCACCAUUUUACUCUUACAACUAUGCCUAUGCACACAGUUUACCACAGAGGAAGUAUUGGUGAGCAUAAGAGUGGGCAGCACAAUGGAAGCCCUCCUGAGUGCAGGACCUGCCACUUGUCCAGGGAGCCAUGACUGGGGAUGUAUUUGACCCCACGGCCACAGUAAGGAAAACAGUCUGGUCCCUGGGCCUUGCAACACGGAUUGAAACGGCAACAUUUCACAGAGAUGUCAAAACAGGAAGAACUUCUGGCAUAAUUAGCACUGAUAAUAGCAUAAAAAAAUACUAGCUAGUCUUUCUAAUGAAGAAUCCUGUUAAAGGACAAUCCAUAUCAAGUUUGAUUGUAAGACUGAUGAUGUAGGUCUGUCUGACCAUAUUUGCUGCUUGCAUAUUAAAUUUCCUAAGCUCAUUAAUCUGUAACUGUGAAUGGAGUUUUUUUUUUUUUUUCACUGAGACAGAGUUUCGCCCUUGUUACAGGCUGGAGUGCAAUGGUGCGAUCUCGGCUCACCUCAACCUCCACCUCCUGGGUUCAGGCAAUUCUCCUGCCUCAGCCUCCUGAGUAGCUGGGAUUACAGGCACGCGCCACCAUGCCCAGCUAAUGUUUUGUAUUUUUAGUAGAGACGGGGUUUCACCAUGUUGACCAGGAUGGUCUUGAUCUCUUGACCUCGUGAUCCACCCGCCUCAGCCUCCCAAAGUGCUGGGAUUACAAGCGUUAGCCACGGUGCCUGGCCUGGAGUUAUUUUUUAUGUGGUCAGAUGCUUCAAAUAAACACACCUAUCAAUGAAAUCUUAGGCUAUUACACUUAUAGGAUAUUCAACAGUAGAGUAGUGAUGCUUUAUAUCAUGUCCAUAGGUGAGAAUGUAGCCCCUAUAAAAGAUCCUCUGUGUUGCUACAGUAUCUUUUUAAACUUAGCUGUUUGGUGCUGAUCAUUUAAAUGCACUCACACAGAUGUAAAAGUAAACAGUGUGGUCAGAAGAAAAUGGUUUUGCCCACGAUGAAGGCAACUGAAUCUACCUUUAACUUUCCUAUAACUAGCUGUGUAAAUAUAGGGAAGAUCAUCUAGCCUUUCUUCAUCUUUAAACUUAGAACUUCAUGCUGAUCAGAACAGUUUUAAAGAUAAAUGAGACAAUAUAGAAGAAAACAGAUUGAAAA